UACGGGGGGGGCAAGCGUUGUUCGGAAUUACUGGGCGUAAAGGGCUCGUAGGUGGCCAACUAAGUCAGACGUGAAAUCCCUCAGCUUAACUGGGGAACUGCGUCUGAUACUGGAUGGCUUGAGUUUGGGAGAGGGAUGCGGAAGUCCAGGUGUAGCGGUGAAAUGCGUAGAUAUCUGGAGGAACACCGGUGGCGAAGGCGGCAUCCUGGACCAACACUGACACUGAGGAGCGAAAGCCAGGGGAGCAAACGGG
This 253-nucleotide ribosomal RNA is filed under the name uncultured bacterium. Its description in RNAcentral is "partial 16S ribosomal RNA". It matches the Rfam family "Bacterial small subunit ribosomal RNA", at positions 524 to 776 of the family's 1533-position model. The record is from RNAcentral.